AACGCACCUUGCGCCUUUUGGUAUUCCGAAAGGCACACCUGUUUGAGCGUCAUGAAUACCUCAAUCUCCAUCUUUUCUUCGGAUUGAUGGGUGACUUGGAUGUUGAGCCCUGCUGGUAUGCUAUAUCAGCUGGCUUUAAACUUAUUAGCCGGCUCUGUACUGGAUCGGUUUGACUCGACGUGAUAAUAUUAUCGUUGAGGAUGCAUGUCUCAUGCAGCCGGAAAGUAUCAAAGCAGCUUCUAGCUUGCCUUUAGUGCACUUUUACAUUUUAGACCUCAGAUCAGGUGGGACUACCCGCUGAACUUAA
Molecule: unclassified non-coding RNA, 307 nt
Filed under: uncultured Helicobasidiaceae
Lineage: Eukaryota; Fungi; Basidiomycota; Pucciniomycetes; Helicobasidiales; Helicobasidiaceae
Description: sequence contains ITS2
Source: RNAcentral